GGACCCGCACAAGCGGUGGAUGAUGUGGAUUAAUUCGAUGCAACGCGAACAACCUUACCUACCCUUGACAUGUCCGGAAGCCCGCUGAGAGGCGGGUGUGCCCGAAAGGGAAUCGGAACACAGGUGCUGCAUGGCUGUCGUCAGCUCGUGUCGUGAGAUGUUGGGUUAAGUCCCGCAACGAGCGCAACCCUUGUCCCUAGUUGCUACGCAAGGGCACUCUAGGGAGACUGCCGGUGACAAACCGGAGGAAGGUGGGGAUGACGUCAAGUCCUCAUGGCCCUUAUGGGUAGGGCUUCACACGUCAUACAAUGGCCGGUACAGAGGGUUGCCAACCCGCGAGGGGGAGCCAAUCCCAGAAAGCCGGUCGUAGUCCGGAUUGCAGUCUGCAACUCGACUGCAUGAAGUCGGAAUCGCUAGUAAUCGCGGAUCAGCAUGUCGCGGUGAAUACGUUCCCGGGUCUU
Molecule: ribosomal RNA, 461 nt
Filed under: uncultured bacterium
Lineage: Bacteria
Description: bacterial SSU rRNA
Rfam family: Bacterial small subunit ribosomal RNA
Source: RNAcentral